RNAcentral lists this long non-coding RNA (1957 nucleotides) under Capsicum annuum. RNAcentral's name for it is "long non-coding RNA (CANN_LNC000654)". Lineage: Eukaryota; Viridiplantae; Streptophyta; Magnoliopsida; Solanales; Solanaceae. The record is from RNAcentral.
UACAUAUUGAGCUUUUUAUCCUAACCACUUCUUUAUAUUUUUCUCUCAAUACGUGUUGAGAAGUAAUGGACACCAAAUUUUUACAUAAUUUAGUUGGCAUUAUUUCAAUUUCUUACGGUCAAUAAGGAGGCAAUAUCAAGUAAUGAGUAAAAUAUUAUAGCCGACUUUCCGCAUCGAAGAGGCUAACUUAGAAGAAGCACCUUGAUGGAGUGUUUCAAGUUUUUGUAACUCGAUAUGGUACAACUAUUCUUUAAAACAUGUUUUAUUAUACUUCAGCAGUUAUAUUGACUGAAUAUCAUGAAAGAACUUUUGGCAUUUGAUUUGUGUGAUGUUGUACCAAAAUUGUUAAUUUGUUGUAAUAUAUAUUCAUAACAACGUGGGUCAAGUGACGAUUUGAUUUUGUUGACUAUAAAUAUUUUAUUCUGAUCUUUAAAUAGAUCGAACUUGUAAAGAAACUAUGUAAGGUAAUCCACAAUUGCAUUAAUGGCAGCAAAAGAGAAGGAAUUAUGUUAUGAUAUCAAUUUGAAUCGACAGAAUGGUUGCAAGGUAUGGAACGUUGGAUUUGGGACUUUUUACUUUGUUGUGAAAACUGACUUAAUCAUUCAUGAAGCGAUAGAGUUUUUACAAUUUAUUAUAUUUAUUAUUAAGAUAUUUUGGUAAUUACUUUUAACUAAAGAGAUUUCCAAAGCAAACAGAAUAAUUUUAAUCAAUAAUUUUGUCCAAAUAUUUCCAUAUAAGUUUUGAUGUCUUAACACUUUAUUAAUAUUAUUUUAUUUCUAGACAUACAUAUUUUAGAAAAGAGCAAAUUAAAUUUGAAAGGGCAAUUAUGUUCUAAAGGCAAUUAAUGUCAUAUAUGGAUGAUAGAUACAAAGAUGAUAAAACUGAUUAACAAGAUAUUGUUUUAUACAUGAUAUAUUGACCGGAGCAAUCAAAUUUAAAAGAGAAGCCUACCAAGAUUUAAUUGAUUAAUGUCCAGAAAAAAAUAAUAGAGUUGUUUUUUUGACUGUAUCCACCAAAGGUCUCAAGGUUAGGAAAAAAUGCUGGAGUUGGUAUAUUCAAAGUAGUAAUAAUUUAUAUCUAUAUGAAAUAUUUCUAUCAUAUGUUUGCAUAAAAAAAGUUAAUUUAAUGCAUAAAUGUCCAUUUUAAUUUGACCUGACAUUUAUUGUCUUUCAAUUUUAAGUGUGCGCACUUAUGUAUUUAAAUUUGUAUGAAGUUGAACAAGUAUGCAUACACAUCCUAUGUGACAAAUCACUGAAAUUUUCAUGUGAAUGUCACGAAGGAUGCAUGUGUCUACUUGCCAAACUUUAUACAAGUUGAAGAGUCUACAUAUGUACACCCAAAGUUAGAGGUUAUAAAUGAUAGUUGAGGCUAAAUUAAAGAGUAUGGUUAUGUAUUAUGUCAAAAAUUUACUCAAGUAUAUAUGGCACAUAUAUAUUGUAAAAAUAAGAUAAAAUGUACGUGCAACCCACAUGCAGAGAUACUAGUUAUAUAUAAAUUUUGCAAAGUCCAAAUUGACAAAGUUAUAAUUACAUGCCACUAAUUAAUCUUCUGAUCCUAAUUAAGAUUUUAUUUGAGAUCAUUAAUUGAUUGAUAAAUUAGACCUAGAAAAAGCAAGAAGUGGCUAAUUACCCACUAGUUUGGUGGACCACAAAAUUUGAGACUUUGAUUAACUUAAGUCCACGUUCAUGCAUUAUUUAAUGGUAAGGAUUAUGAUUUAUGCAUGUCAGGGAAAAUUGGUGGAUUAAAGCUUUCGUUAUGCUCAUCAUAGAUCUCAUUUUGUUUAUGAUGUUGGCAAAGAAGUAAAGAUUCAUCAGACACAAGAGCGCAACAUAUGAUCGAAUAAUAUUACCAAUAAUAAUAGGAUAUUUAAAUGAAGACAAGUAUAAGUAGUGCGGAUGUUUAAUAGUUCAAAUAGAUUUAUUAGGUUUCUAGUGAAUCUGUUUUUAUUUGUGCGUGG